UACAGCUUCACUCUGUCACUUCCAUUCACAGCCAGAAUCUCUCAGGAUCCAUUCUGUGAGUUUUACUGAGGAGGUUUUCAUUGCGUUGUGAUUGUCAAAUCAGCUUUAUACUUUUUGGCAGUGCGUCAAAAUCUGACUGCCAGUAUUUUUAAAGGGAACCUCAAUCAAUAGUCCCUAUAAGGAGCUCCACAAAGGAGUCUCGAAUAAUUAUCUUUAAGGCAGAAUUUUAUAUCUAGGACCAUUAGGAUUCCUAAAAGGAACCACCAAGAAAGCUCCUAUCAGGAGCGAACUUAAGAGAAUCCCUUUUUAUCACUAUAUCCAAGGUUGUGAUUCUCCACACACAAAUCUAUUAAUGGCAAAUAAGCCUGUUUUAUAUAUUUGGCAGUUACCCCUGAUGAAGUCGAUAAGACGAAACGCGUUGGAUUUGUCAGUCAGGAGUUUCCAGCAUAGUUUGGGAAGAUACUCCCUCUUAAGCUCGCACCUUGAAAAAGGUGAGGGAGUAUCUAGAGUUAAAGACCACACAAUGAACAUACUGGUUAUCCUUUAUUGUCAUCAUUUUAAACACAUCUUUGUGAACACUAUAUGAGGAAUUUUAUGUGAAAACUGUAUUUGUUUUAACAUGUUAUUAAAAUAAUUUUUUACUAA
Pseudophryne corroboree (corroboree frog) is the source of this 645-nucleotide long non-coding RNA. RefSeq lists it as uncharacterized. Lineage: Eukaryota; Metazoa; Chordata; Amphibia; Anura; Myobatrachidae. The transcript has 6 exons. The record is from RefSeq and is a predicted model, not a curated record.